AAUUUGAAAAAGGAAUGCGCCCGUUUUUCGCCGUAAAUGUUGCAGCCUAAUUUUGGAUCGAGAAUUAAGUGCGACGAAGAUGGCCGUUAAUAAUAGUUCUACUACUUUAAGAACACGGUUCAGAUUUGGAUAACGACUUCGAAGGCAUUCGCAGGAGACCAAACAGAGAAAGAGAGGGAGACACAAAACCACCUGUCUCGGUGUCACACAUGAGGAGUUGAGGAGGAGAUGAAGUCAGUGAAUAUGACCUGGCCUGGGGGAGUUUCCAGAAGAAGGCCCAGAAUCGCUGGAUGCCAGGAGUGGAGAUCCUUCGUUGCUGCCCUACAUGAUAGGAGGCAUCGGGCAGUAGAUGCUGUAAUUUGAAACGGAAGGUGUCCUGCCAAUAAAUUUUCAUCCCACCUGAACUGCCUUGCCUGCCUGCACCCAGUCAUCUGUUCCUGAGCAUUUUCAUUUUCCUCUAUUUUUCAUCAUCGUUUGUUUCGGCCUGUAUGAAGUGAAUUUCACAUUGAUUGGUGGAGCUGCUAAGUUGGCAUUACAGGGCCACGCCGGGGUAUGAUCCUUUGGGUUGAACAUCAUGACUGCUAGUUGGUCGGCAAAGGUGAUGGGAUCGAUCAAUGUCACAUGGAGUAAGAUCGAUACCAAUCUGCUUUGCUACAUUUCGAACAAUCUCAUACGGAUACGGAUAUUAUUGCGACAGGAGUACUGCUCGAUGUGGUCAAGCCUAUUUGACAAAGCAUUAUGGUGUUAGUCAUGUUAUCAGAAACCGAUUUUUCAAAAUCACGGAGUUGCUUCAAUUUAGUAUCGAUAGAUAUUUCAAGAACGUGUAGACUAGUGAGCUUUUCAUCAAGAAUUUCACGCAAUUUAUUUUCGCGCUUAUCCAUGUCAUCAUUGAGUUUUUGUCUCUCGCGUUCCAUUGCCACGGCCACCGCUCUUUGAACGACUGUAUCAAUAUGAUCUAGGUAUGCUGGGCUUUGUUUAGAUCCAGUUAAUGAUGAAGCAGAGGAUUGUGUACAUGCGUUAGCCGAGUGCAAGCGGCCUCUUGAUCUGGUGGAUAUCUUAGACAUGUUAGAGAUUACGUAAUGAUAUAAUUGAAAAGUGGGAUGGGCUGUGCAUCUGCCAACUCACCAGUCAACCAAUUAGAGACGGCCUUCCAAAGUGACACAGCACGAAAAUAUCAAUAUGGGACUGGUCUAGUCAACACAUAGAUCCUGAAAAAACCAUGGAGACCGCAGACGCAAAAUGACUUCCAUACAUAAAGAUAUGAUGCACAAUUUCCAGUGGGUUCAAAACACUGAACACAUGCUAUGCUGAUACACAGACUAUCAUAUUAAAGAACUUUAUCAAGCAAAGGAAAUCUGGUAUGAAAUCUCUCAGCUCACAUAAAAAGCCUACGUAGCUACAUGUAGGGAAGAAAAUGCGUAAUUGCUGAGAAAUGAGCAAAAUAAGCAUGUAAUUCUAUCAAAUGUCAGGUAUUUUUCGAAUCGAUUAUAAUACACUGUCCCACAUAUGCUUUUCUGUGUUUACAGCGAUCAUCAGAAUUAUCGAUUUUAAGUUAAAAAAUUCAUGAUUUUACAAAGAUACAAGUUUACAUUAAUGUACUAGAUGUAGAUUAUGUACAAUAUAUUGACAAUGAACUUUGAUUUUAUAGAUUUUCUCAAGAAAUAAUUGUUUGCUGCAACUACUGUCUUUUCCUUCUAAGUGAUAGUGUAAUACAACAGUUCCACAAACUAUUUUCAUCAGACUUAUUGAUGCAUGAUUCUUUCACCCAAAUGCAAGCUUCCAUAAAUCCUGAAAACUUUGCAACUCAGGUGUUUUUUUUUUUUACAUACAGUAUAUUUUGUCCUACAUUGCAUAGUUGCCUUAAGUUAAUAGCGCACCUCUAGUAGUAACUAUCUUAAAAUGAGUUCGAACAGAAUCCAACAGAAUUACCAGCAAAGUGUAUGUAUAUAUAAAAGAUGUGUGCCAAAAAGCUCGGGAAGAAAAUGUGUAAUUGCUGAGAAAUGAGCAAAAUAAGCAUGUAAUUCUAUCAAAUGUCGGGUAUUUUUCAAAUCAAUCAUAAUACACUGUCCUGUCCCACAUAUGCUUUUCUGUGUUAGUGAUCAUCAGAAUUAUUGAUUUUAAGAUCAAAAUUCAUGAUUUUACAAAGAUACAAGUUUACAUUAAUUUACCAGGGCCCCGUCUUACAAAGAGUUAUGAUUGAUCUGAUCAAUCGCAACUAUGGACGGUCAGCAACGUUAACAUCUAUUAAGCAUGUUUGUUCAAAAUAUUUUCUAGCUAUGAUGUAUGUUCAUGCAUUCAUUGUUUUCUCAAAAAUUCGCUGCGCUUCUCUUUGCAUACAAAGGACAUUGUGCAAAUUUUUCGUAGAAAAAAUUAUGACACUGAUGGAUUUCCAUAGAGUUAUGAUUGAUCGGAUCAAUCGUAACUCUUUGUAAGACAGGGCCCAGAUCUAGAUUAUGUACAAUAUUUUGACAAUUAACCUUAAUUUAAAAGACUUUCCGAAGAAAUAAUUGUUUGCUGCAACUACUGUCUUUUACCCCUGGCCCUAAGUGAUAGUGUAAUACAACCCAAACAUUUCAUAAGAAUUAAUGUACAUGUAUGAUUCUUUCACCCAAAUGCGAGCUUCCAUAAAUCCUGAAACUAUUCCAACUCGGGUAUUUUUUUUUUACAUACAGUAUAUUUUUACCUACAUUACAUAGUUGUCUAAAGUUGAAGGUAUAUUUAAUUACAAUUUCAACGAAAAAGCUUUAUUCUUGGAGAUCAUUAUGCCUCUGUUAUGUAUUAAUGUGUAUUUAUACAUGUACAAUUGUAUGUAUUGGUAUAACAAACAUUGUAAUUUCAUUCCUUUGACCCUAAUACUGCAUUUUCAUAGAAAAGAGUUUUUUUUUUCAAUCUAUUUAGAGUUUUCAACAUUUUGUAUUCCUUUUUUUUUUGCUGGUAAUAUGUUAUGCAACUUUUAUUUAUUAAUAGAAUAUUUGCCACGAUUUCGUAAUUG
Molecule: long non-coding RNA, 2992 nt
Organism: Lytechinus pictus (painted urchin)
Lineage: Eukaryota; Metazoa; Echinodermata; Echinoidea; Temnopleuroida; Toxopneustidae
Exons: 3
Source: RefSeq, a predicted model, not a curated record